UGUGAGAGAGUUAAAGAGGCUCGUAUGCACGGGAUACAGACUUUGGUCUGUGUUUCGACUUCUUGCGGAGUUGUUGAAUUGGGCUCUUCUCACAUGAUCAACGAAGACUGGAGCCUGGUGCAAUUGUGCAAAUCCCUUUUCGGUGCAGACGUCGCCUGCUUGAUCUCCAAGCAGCUCAGCCACGAAUCUCAGCUUCAAAUUCCUGACCGAGGUGCUUCUUUCCUUGAUAUUGGAAUGUUUUCAUGUGCUCAAAUGGAGACAUUUCCAGAGAAGCAAAACGAAGGCGACAAAAAGAGAGAUGCUUCUGCUUUUGGUCAAGGCCGGUCGUCUUCUGACUCUGGGCCUUCUGAUUCUGAUGUCAAUUUGGCUGCUGGAAAUACUAACGGCCGGUUCAAGAAAAGAGGAAGAAAACCAAAUGGCAAAGAAUUGCCUCUAAACCAUGUCGAAGCGGAGAGGCAGCGGAGAAAGAGACUUAAUCACCGAUUUUAUGCACUCCGAUCUGUGGUUCCUAACGUGUCCAAGAUGGAUAAAGCAUCUCUACUUGCAGAUGCAGUCACUUAUAUAGAGGAGCUCAAGGCCAAAGUUGAUGAAUUGGAGGCCAAACUGCAAGCAGUGUCUAAGCAAUCCAAGAUUACUAGUACAAUCAUCUAUGACAAUCAAUCAACCAAUUACAUG
Molecule: unclassified non-coding RNA, 675 nt
Filed under: Hevea brasiliensis (rubber tree)
Lineage: Eukaryota; Viridiplantae; Streptophyta; Magnoliopsida; Malpighiales; Euphorbiaceae
Source: RNAcentral